CUUGCCAGAUGGCCCCGGAAGAGUCUCAGCUGCCCUGUCAAGUUUAGCUUCUCAAGCUCCCCAGAACCAGCAUGGCAAGGAUCACCCCUCCAGAAAAGGAAAUGAUUUCUCUGAUCAUGAUCAAACCAUGUCAUAAUUUUAGCUGUAGGUGGUGGCUGAUCAGGACAGUAUGAAAUUUCAUACAGUUUCCUAACUUGAGAAAACAUGGUGAUGCAAUUCCUCCAACCAGGAGGGAUUUAUGGACAGCGGUGGCUACGUCCUAAUCUGCCCAGAAUACAGGAUGACUAAACAAAUUGGCAAACGGACGCAGCUUUCUCUCUCUCUAAGAAAAGUCUGCUGAGAACCCUCGUUCCCACUCUGUUUCUGCCUCCAAGAAGAAAAGCCUAAAACUCACUUUCUUCCGGACUCUUUCAAGGAAGCUGAUUAAAAGAAGCUCCUAAACCAGAGGUGCAGACAAGGUGAUGAUGUGGCUCUCAGAGGAAGGUGUGCUACCUACAACCCUGCUGGCUUCAUGGAAGAAUAUGCUUCUCAAAUGCAAAUCCAAUCAAGUUAUCUCCCUGCUUAAAUCCAAACUCGCUCAUGUGGCCCACAAAGCCUACCUUGCCUGCCUCUCUCUAACCUCACCCAAAACACACUUCCAUUGCUCUCUAGGUUCCAGCACCCUGACCUUUUGGUCUGCACUGUGCCAGGCUCCCUCCAGCCCUGAAGCCUUUGCACAUGCUGUUCCUCCUGUCUGGAAAGGCUCUCCCAUCUUGUCUAUUCGUUCUCCAGGCUCAAGUGACUCUUCCUGAGAGCCUUCUCUGACCCCAGUCCAGGUCAAGUUCCUCUGUCACAUGCCUGACCCUGCAUCCCUCCUUGACAGCACUUAUAUCAGCUUGUAACACA
Homo sapiens (human) is the source of this 885-nucleotide non-coding RNA. NCBI's taxonomy places the organism in Eukaryota, Metazoa, Chordata, Mammalia, Primates, Hominidae. The record is from RefSeq and is a predicted model, not a curated record.